CAGCAUCGAAAGGAAAGGAGAAAGUCAUUGAGGACUAAAACGGGAGAAUUACGGUUAGUAGAAGUCAAGUGUCCCGACUCAGCAUCCAGAACAAUCCCGACUCCAACACAAACUUGGUGAUGUAUAUUUUUCUUUUGGGUAAAGGUGGCAUGUACAUAGGUGUUGCUUAGUCACUUGAAUAUGUAUAUUACUUUGAGUAGUGAAGGAUGAAUUAUAAGAUUUAGAUGGUUAAAUGAAAUGGUAAGGAAAGUACAUGAUAUUUUGAUACAUGAACAUUAAGUUGUUAAAUGAAUAAAGUUUAUAAUCAA
Gossypium arboreum is the source of this 308-nucleotide long non-coding RNA. RefSeq lists it as uncharacterized. The transcript has 2 exons. Lineage: Eukaryota; Viridiplantae; Streptophyta; Magnoliopsida; Malvales; Malvaceae. The record is from RefSeq and is a predicted model, not a curated record.